RNAcentral lists this ribosomal RNA (443 nucleotides) under uncultured bacterium. RNAcentral's name for it is "partial 16S ribosomal RNA". It matches the Rfam family "Bacterial small subunit ribosomal RNA", at positions 338 to 795 of the family's 1533-position model. The record is from RNAcentral.
CCUACGGGAGGCAGCAGUGGGGAAUAUUGGGCAAUGGAGGAAACUCUGACCCAGCAACGCCGCGUGAAUGAUGAAGGUCUUCGGAUUGUAAAGUUCUUUUCUAAGGGAAGAAGAAAGUGACGGUACCUUAGGAAUAAGCCUCGGCUAACUACGUGCCAGCAGCCGCGGUAAUACGUAGGAGGCAAGCGUUAUCCGGAAUGACUGGGCGUAAAGGGUGCGUAGGUGGUUCAGCAAGUUAGGAGCGUAAUUCCGGAGCUCAACUUCGGCACUACUACUAAAACUGUUGGACUUGAGUGCAGGAGGGGCAGCUGGAAUUCCUAGUGUAGCGGUGGAAUGCGUAGAUAUUAGGAAGAACACCGGUGGCGAAGGCGAGUUGCUGGACUGUAACUGACACUGAGGCACGAAAGCGUGGGGAGCAAACAGGAUUAGAUACCCCUGUAGUC